UUCAGGUUAGUUACAAAUGAACUGACUGUGCAGGCUUUCAAAAUAGCACACAGAGGUUUUAUUAUUACUAUUAUUAUUAUUAUUUUUAUUAUCACCCCAGGCUAGGCUGGUCCUGCAGUUCCAAACCCUGGGACACUCUGAAGUGCUUCAGCAGAGCAUUGCUCUACAUCAGUCCCAGACACCACAACUUCAGCUGGGAACCUGCUGAGCUCCUCUCACACCUCCCAAAUCCCCGUUUUCCCUGGUGAUACAUCCACUUCUGUGGGAAUGUGUACUGUCACAACUUUAUCCAUUGAAAAAACAACUCUGGCAGACUGUAAAAUGAGAAUCUUCAUGGUUACUUGCCAAACUAUGAAAGCUGAAGGUUUAGGCUGCAAUUAGCCCAGAAGCCACGGUCGUAAGAAAUUGCAAAGGGCACUCACUAUUCAAAAGGCACCAAGAAUAGAAAGAAUGAAAACAUUACCAGAAAUAUUAACUUCUUACCCUAAAGCAGUGUGGGAUAUUAGGGUGCAGGCAGACUUUAGACAGAUGGAUCUCCCUUUAUUCCAAUGCAGGAAGUUGUGUUUCCAGCCAAAGUGUAAAUAAGCGUUCAUAACCACAGGGCAGGCUCAAACUCUCUCUUGCAUCUCUUCAACAACCAAAACCCAUAUAAAUAUUGAAACUGAUUUAUUGGAAAAUUAAAACUCCAAAUUUAAUCUCAUGUGGAAAUUAUCACAGCCUGGUUUCAGAGAGACAGAUCAGGAUUCAAAUGAGCCAGAGUACAUUUACAGGGUUGGUUUGGAAGCAAACAGUUGCACACACAGAUUUUUUUUUAAAUUUUUAUUUCACCUAUUUCUGUCACAGAUAUUCAUUCAAAUGUGGAAUUCAUCACCUUUAUUGCAGCUGACAAGAAACAUAAAGGAAGUUGCCUAAUGAAGACAGAACAAGAAUUGUGCUUGGGAACUUUACCAAACUUUGCCGACUCUGAGAUGAUGGCCCAGUAUUUUAGUAAUUAAUAAUUAUUUGAUUUCACAUGUGUUAUCAUUGAUAAGUCAUUAAUGAUGCUCUGCCCAGGGGGAGGAGACAUUCAUUCCCACCUGGAUAUAAUCUGGGAUUUGGGAAAGCACAGGUUUCCCAGAGGACUGGAUUCCCAGAGGACAGGAGCUACCAGACAUUUCUGCAGGAUCGCUGCUUCAGCAAGGCUGCUUCAUCUGGACUGCCACCACCCUCACUAACAGGGUGUCAGGUUGUGUUCUGACUCUGUCAGUGGCCUUUUGUGCUAUUGCUUCUGUUUUAUUUUAUUUUCCUCUUUUUUUCUCUCUCUUUAAAUUGUAUUUCUGACUUGGGGUCUCUCACUGGUUUUGCUUUCAGACCAGCACACCAGUACUGAGAGGGGCCUUCCAGUGCUGGACUGGAACAGGGACCAAGGCACAGGGGCUGCUCUGGGAGUCUGGAGGGGUUGGGCUCUUCUGUCCUGGCUCUGCUGAGGGGAUUGCUCAGGGCUGGACAACAGGCCCUGAGCCAAACCUUCCAACCACUGCUGUGUUUGUAUCCCCUCAUUAACAAAAGACACAGGAUCAUUAGUGUGGGCUCUGGGUGUCUGCUCGUUAACAAACACAGACUGACCUUUCUGUGUUGGGAAGCUGGAGAAGGCCAUGAGAUGAGAGCCCUGCUCUUGCUGGGAGCUCCAUGGUCCAAGGCAGCUCCUGGGUUGCUCCCUGAGCCCUGGCCAGGCUCUGGGAGGAAGCCAGGAGGGGCUGAGCCCAGCUGUUCCCGCCCUGGCAGUGCUGGGAGCCUGUGGAUGGCACCCAGGGGUGCCAGCUGGGCCCUGUCCCAGCCCAGGGGGAGCCUCUUUGCCUGCGGGUGGACGCACCCGUGGGAAUUCCCAGUUCCGGGAGGGGCUCUCAGUGCUGGGCUGGGACAGGGGCUCCCCAGCUGGGGCUCUGCAGGCUGGGGCAGCCUUAGGGGGUCCCUGGGGCUGGGUCUCAGUCCCUGCAGGGCUGCAGUCUUUGGUAGCAGUGAUGAGGGCAUGGCAGAGCUUGUCUGUUUGGAGUUCUGUGCUGCUUUGAGCUCUGGUAAAUGACACUCAAUUCCUGCAGCUGCUCUCUGUGUCCUUGCUGCUGCUCCUGCCCACUGCCCAAGCAUUCCUUCUGUCCAAUAAACUUCCUGGGAACUGUGCUGCUUGGAAGAUUUACAGAAAUUUGAUCCUGUAAGUUUGAGAUGAAAUUUCUACUUCUCUUUGGGUCUUGUAGGAAGGCAGGAUUGUAGUGUGGUGACCUGAGGGAGAUGUUCCCACAGCUGUUUGCAUCUGUGCUCUCCUGUGUGUCUUUGUUCUUCCUGCACUGCUGGAGGGGGCACUCAUUUAUUUGGGUUUUCCUUUUCAACCCCUGUGGGCUCAGGUGAUUUAGACUCAGCGUAAAGGAGAACCUGGCAAGAAAAUGCUGAAGCAGAGUUCCCCUUCUUCUAUUGCUGAGAUGUUUCUGCUCCAAGUCCCUCAGUGCCUGAGGACUCCCAGGUGUUCCAAGGUGGCAGCAGCUGGAAAAUCCUGUUCUCCUGCUCAGAAUAUGAACAGAGCCUUGUCUGCUCAAGGCCCCUGGCAAGCAGGGGACAAAGAAGGGACCCAGAACCUCUUGGCCCCCUGGCAGAGAGAGAAGCAGCCGAUGGUGCUGGGAGAGCUGCUGCGAGUCCCUGCUGGAGUCUGGUUUGGUGCUGUCCCUUUGUCCCCCUGCAGGCCCCACUGGAGCGUGUCCAGGCUGUGCCACGUCUGUCCCCAGCUGGGUGCAGGCGUUUGCCCUUGGCAGGGUGCCCUGGGGGCUGAGGGCUGCCCCUGCCCUGCUGCUGGCAGGGGAGGCAGGGCUGGCACAGGGCAGCUCCUGCACUCCUGGCUUCCACAGGCUCCCGUGGUUCUCUCCAGGCUGUUCCAGGCUGCUGCAGCGCUCGGCCAAAGCCCUGGAGACCCUGGGCUGUGGAUGGGCACUGGCUCCAGGCAAAGGCCACUUGUGGAGGGCCUGGCCCCGGGGGCAUUCCUGGAAGGAGGAGGGCCCUGGGGUGAGAGCUGUGACCCCUGAGGUUGGAGAGGAGCCUGGCAUGGCACAGAGAGACUUGGAGAAAGCGUUUUCCAGACUCACACUUGUGCUGAAAGGCCCCUGGCACGUGUGGGACAAGAACUGACACAGAAUUUCCUGGGACCCUGGCAGAGAGAAGCAGCAAAUGGUGUUGGCAGAGUUUCUGUGAGUGCCCUUUUGGCCCUCCUCCAAGGAGCAGGAGGAGCCUGGGUUUGUGUCCCUGGGAUUGUCCUGACCUUCCAGACAAGGCCCAAGGUGAGUGCCAAGGCACAGGGGGUGCUCUGGGAGUCUGGAGGGGUUGGGCUCUUCUGUCCUGCCUCUGCUGAGGGGAUUGCUCAGGGCUGGACAACAGGCCCUGAGCCAAACCUUCCAACCACUGCUGUGUUUGUAUCCCCUCAUUAACAAAAGACACAGGAUCAUUAGUGUGGGCUCUGGGUGUCUGCUCAUUAACAAACACAGACUGACCUUUCUGUGUUGGGAAGCUGGAGAAGGCCAUGAGAUGAGAGCCCUGCUCUUGCUGGGAGCUCCAUGGUCCAAGGCAGCUCCUGGGUUGCUCCCUGAGCCCUGGCCAGGCUCUGGGAGGAAGCCAGGAGGGGCUGAGCCCAGCUGUUCCCACCCUGGCAGUGCUGGGAGCCUGUGGAUGGCACCCAGGGGUGCCAGCUGGGCCCUGUCCCAGCCCAGGGGGAGCCUCUUUGCCUGCGGGUGGACGCACCCGUGGGAAUUCCCAGUUCUGGGAGGGGCUCUCAGUGCUGGGCUGGGAUAGGGGCUCCCCAGCUGGGGCUCUGCAGGGUGGAGCAGCCUUAGGGGGUCCCUGGGGCUGGCUCUCAGUCCCUGUGGACAGUCCUGGGUGGCAGUGAUGAGGGGCAGUGCUGAGCUUCUCCUUAUGCUCUCUAGAGGGGCAAAUCAGAGGCUUAUUUCAAAAGCUUUGCAAAGGAAAAUGGCAACUGAAAUAUUUGGGAGCCUCAAAAGCAGUUCAACUUCUUCCUGUAAUUAAUGACAUAAUGAAGGUAAGCAGAGAAGUGGAGUAGAUUUUGUGUCCCUUCCAGAAGUAUUUCAGGGGGUACAAAGUGCACAGUUGUGUUGGUGAGAUGGCAGAAAUGAAUUUGUUGCCUUCAGAUCACAUCUUUUGAUUGGUGGUUUUUGCAGACAGUUGUUUAACUGGGAAGGCAAUGAGAGUUUCUGAGGUGAAGCUGAGAUCUGCUGUGACCCUUUGUGGCUCACCCCACUGUGGGACACUGGGCUGUCCAUGAUGAAUGACUCUGACCAGUGCCCACUGUGAGAGCCAGGUCACUCUGCAUGGCCCAGGCUGGCCUGGAGGGACAAAGAGAGGUUUGGGUGGCUCUGGCCAAGGUGCUGAGACAGAGAGGGAGAACUCUCAGCACCUUGGGGCUCUGAGCUGGGCCUGGAGGGAGCAAGAGACAAAUCCUGCAAGGUGAGAUGUGCCUGUUCUCGUACUGAUUACCCUCCUGACACAACUGGCUCAGGUACCAACUUUCUGUUCCCUUAUUCACUUUCUAAAAUAAUAUUUGUGUGCUUUCUUCUCACUGUACAGCUAUAGAGAAUAACUCCAGCGUCUGCACAGCUGCUUUCCAUUGCUGCCAAACAGUUUAAAAAAUCAGCCCUGCAUCCAUGAGUGUGUAUUUACAAACACAGAGCAUCCAUUGCUCUUGGGUGCUGCUCCUCCUGAAGGGAUCUGUGAAGGACCUGGGUAACUCUGGCUGUUGUGGGGGUGGGAACAACCACCUGUGAAAUACAAACAUCAGCCUGGUACUGUCACUAAUCAGAGAAAAGAAAUCUGAUGCCAUUCCUCUCUUUGGAAUCUGCAGGGCAGGUAUUGAUCCCUGCUCCAGCCAUUCCAGUGUGCAGCACAGUUGUUUUUCAGGGAUGUGGUGGGUAAUGGAUGGGAUUCCAGCUGGAGAGCUCUGGUUUACCCUGGGUUCCCAGAGAGCUUUUCCUGCUCCCUGAGGUGGUCACAGAAGAGAUGCCAGGGAAGCCAUGAAGACUCCACCUGCUCCUUUUUCCUGCCAGGUACCUGGAGUGAGAGCAGUGACCCCUGAGAAUGGAGAGGGGCUUUGGAUGAGACCAAGACACUUGAAGAAACCUCUUCCCAGAAUGGCACUUGUCUGGAAUUGUCUAGUAUUAGAUGCUCUUUUCAACCUUCUUUCCAUUUUUAAUGUCUGUCAGAGUUUGAGGCUCUGCAUUCAAAGGCAAACCAAUAUUUUCUAGUGCUUCUUAUCACUUUUGAUCUCUUUGGUUUGGUGUGUCAAAAUGGGUCUCUGAUUUCACCUUUUGUAUUUAAGGUUACCCAGAAAGGGCAUUGACCAAGCAGUGCAAAUGCAGAGUAGUUAAUGGCAUUAGUUGUUGUCUAGAGAAUAAUGUGUUCAAUCUAUUUUUGUUCAUAUGGGUACACUGUAAAACUGUGGUGUUCCAGUGUAGGUGGGGCUUUGGCCACCCUUUGGAGAUGGUAAAAUGAUCAUUGUUCUGGAUUUGUAAUGGCCCUUAGCCAAAUCUGAGCUCUUGAUGAACCUCCCAGGCAAAGGUUGCAUUUGUGUCCCCUCAUUAAGGAUCCCCUCACAGGAUCAUCAGCGUUAGGAUGUGAAUCCACUCAUUAACAAACACAGACUGACCUUUCUGUACUGGGAAGCUGGAGAAGGCCAUGAGAUGAGAGCCCUGCUCUUGCUGGGAGCUCCAUGGUCCAAGGCAGCUCCUGGGUUGCUCCCUGAGCCCUGGCCAGGCUCUGGGAGGAAGCCAGGAGGGGCUGAGCCCAGCUGUUCCCGCCCUGGCAGUGCUGGGAGCCUGUGGAUGGCACCCAGGGGUGCCAGCUGGGCCCUGUCCCAGCCCAGGGGGAGCCUCUUUGCCUGCGGGUGGAUGCACCCGUGGGAAUUCCCAGUUCUGGGAGGGGCUCUCAGUGCUGGGCUGGGACAGGGGCUCCCCAGCUGGGGCUCUGCAGGCUGGGGCAGCCUUAGGGGGUCCCUGGGGCUGGGUCUCAGUCCCUGCAGGCAGUUGGCCAAACCCAGCACCCACAGGAGUCGUUCACUCGCUCUGCUGCCAGCGUUGGGCAGAGGAGAGGGGGGGAAUUAAUGAAGAGCUCACGAGUUCAGAACUGGGAGAAACACACUCUAAGGGCAAAACAGGUUCCAAUUUAAAGGUGUAAGGUUAAUUUAUUAUUAACAGUCGGAGAAUGGUAGCGAGAAGUGAAUGAAGCCUUUAAAACACCUCUUGUUUUUUCACCCCAGCCCCUCCCUGGGAGACAGGCUAUAGGGAUUUUUGUCACUUGAUUAUUUGAGGUUUUUUUCUGUUUGCUCAGGGAGAGGAGUUUUUUCUCUGCUGUGCCAUUGGGUCCCUCCUAUGGGUACAGAGUCUUCCCAGAGUUGUUGUGGCAUGGGUUCCUUGGCUGCAGGGUGCAGUUGUUUAAGGAUGGAUUGCUCUAGUUUGGAAGCAAGGGCUCUCUUAACUCUGCAAGCCCUCUCUCUUCUCUCUAUUCGGGUCUCCCACUGGAUCAAAGCUUUCUCUGGCUUCCACUCCCUCUGGCAUGAGCCCUUUUCCCAUGGGCUGUGAGUGGAUCUCUGCAUCCCCCGUGGACUUGAUUCAUUCCAGGGCCACAGUUUGUUUCACCACAGUCCUCAGUGCAGCUUGCAGAGCAAUCUCAGCUGUGAUGUUCAGAGCUCUUCUUCCCCCUUUUUCCAUUGACCUUGGUGCCCCCAUGUUGUUUUCCAUUCAUGUUUCACAUUCUCACUUCCUCCUCCUCUCACUAGAGGAGAAGCUGCUGCUCAUAGGCACCACUGCCAACAAGAGUCACCAAUUCAGAGAUUCCUGCAGGAUGCCCCAGCAGCCAGAGGUUGAUCUUGUUCAGGUACCCUGGAGUGAGUGCAGUGACCCUGAGGAUGGAGAAGGGCUUGGGAUGAGGCCAAGAGACUUGGGGAAACCAUUUUGCAGAAUGACACUUGUGUGGACAGAAUGCUGCCAGGCAACCCCCCGGGUGCUUUGAACAUCACAGGUUUUUCCAUCUGUUGUCACAUUGGAACACCCCGGAGUCCUCAGGCACAGAGGGACUGUGAGAAAAAGGAUUCCCAGCGAGAUGAGCAAGGUCAUGCUUUUGUUAUGGAUUUGCUUGGAAAAUUCUUCCAGAAAAUCAUUUUUCACUGUUUUUUGCACAGAACCCAAAUGGAACAAGGCAGCUCUGGGGAACCCAGCAGCAGCUCUCACUGACUCUCCAGUGGGAGUCUCUCCCCCAGGCUGAGCCUAAAUGCCCUGAGCCCCCGAGGUGCAGGUGUCACCUCAGCAUGGAGCACACCUGGCCUGAGGCCCUGCUCCUCUGUGGAUGUGCCCUGUGGAUGAGGAGGGGCUGGUGUGGAAGCAGCAGGACACCAGCCCAGCCUUUCACAGGCUUUUCACAUUUGGCUUUGGGGCUGGAGGUGCUGCCCUCCUCUGCUCUGCCUGCAUUUUAUCCGCUGUUGUUUUCCCAACACCCUCCUAUCCCACAGGUCAGACUUCCCCCCACAUGGAGCUGUUUGGCUCCCUCUGGAAUGGGGGCAGCCUCUCCCUGUGGGUGCAGGAACACAUCCUGUGCUUCCUGCAGUGUCCUUCUCUGGACCCUGGAGCCAUUAGACCUUGUCCCCACGUGGGACACAGUGAGAGUUUGGAGUGGCCGUGGCCAUUCCUGAUCCUGGCUGUGUUCCUGAGGAGCUGUCUGUGCCCAAAGCCAGGGGGUUCUGAAGGUGUCCCCACGGCUGUGGCACCCUGAGUGUGCAGGAGCUGCUGUGGGAGGGCUCUGCCACGGGCACUGAUCCUGGGCUGAGUGGGUCCAUGAACCCCCCAAGUGCAGAGCCAGGGCACAGCCCUGCCCUGUCCCCACACCUGCCGCACACGAGGGACACAGUGAGGACCUGCAUUCCUGUCACCCUGACUGCUGACCUGUGCUGUGACACUGACCCUGACUGCUGACCUGUGCUGUGACACUGACCCUGACUGCUGCCCUCUGCUGUGACACUGACCCUGACUGCUGCCCUCUGCUGUGACACUGACCCUGACUGCUGCCCUCUGCUGUGACACUGACCCUGACUGCUGCCCUCUGCUGUGACACUGACCCUGACUGCUGACCUGUGCUGUGACACUGACCCUGACUGCUGAUCUGUGACUGUGACACUGACCCUGACUGCUGUGACCUCUGACUGACACUGACCCUGACUGCUACCCUGUGACUGUGACAUUGACCCUGACUGCUGUGACCUCUGACUGUGACACUGACCCUGACUGCUGUGACCUCUGACUGUGACAUUGACCCUGACUGCUGUGACCUCUGACUGUGACACUGACCCUGACUGCUGUGACCUCUGACUGUGACACUGACCCUGACUGCUGCCCUCUGACUGUGACACUGACCCUGACUGCUGUGACCUCUGACUGUGACAUUGACCCUGA
Long non-coding RNA from Prinia subflava (tawny-flanked prinia), 8465 nucleotides. RefSeq lists it as uncharacterized. The record is from RefSeq and is a predicted model, not a curated record. NCBI's taxonomy places the organism in Eukaryota, Metazoa, Chordata, Aves, Passeriformes, Cisticolidae. The transcript is spliced from 8 exons.